This 303-nucleotide small RNA is filed under the name Arabidopsis thaliana (thale cress). Its description in RNAcentral is "ATSL092490". Lineage: Eukaryota; Viridiplantae; Streptophyta; Magnoliopsida; Brassicales; Brassicaceae. The record is from RNAcentral.
GAUCCUAGACUUUGAGUCUAAGGGUUCUAGGAUGUGAGUUAGUAGUCGGAUCUUUGAAAGGAUCGACUAGAAGGCUGGGUAGUAUCCGGGUCAUGUGCAUCCUACACAAGACUCGGUCCGGGUAGGGAUCGGCUGAGGCGGGGACGCGGCUCGGCGGAGGACCGGCGGGUCUUAACUGACCUGCCGAGAAUCGGCCGGACUGAUGCGCGAUCUUCCCCUCUCUGAAUUCUCUUCACGGAUCCGAGUAGUGUAUGGCAUAUAGAGCAUUGCAUGGACUUGCAUAUGAUUAAGUAAAUGAGAUUA